UGGGGAAUUUUGCGCAAUGGGGGCAACCCUGACGCAGCAACGCCGCGUGCGGGACGACGGCCUUCGGGUUGUAAACCGCUUUCAGCAGGGAAGAAAUUCGACGGUACCUGCAGAAGAAGCUCCGGCUAACUACGUGCCAGCAGCCGCGGUAAUACGUAGGGAGCGAGCGUUAUCCGGAUUCAUUGGGCGUAAAGAGCGCGUAGGCGGCCUCUCAAGCGGGAUCUCUAAUCCGAGGGCUCAACCCCCGGCCGGAUCCCGAACUGGGAGGCUCGAGUUCGGUAGAGGCAGGCGGAAUUCCCGGUGUAGCGGUGGAAUGCGCAGAUAUCGGGAAGAACACCGAUGGCGAAGGCAGCCUGCUGGGCCGCAACUGACGCUGAGGCGCGAAAGCUAGGGAGCGAACAGG
Molecule: ribosomal RNA, 403 nt
Filed under: bacterium
Lineage: Bacteria
Description: partial 16S ribosomal RNA
Rfam family: Bacterial small subunit ribosomal RNA
Source: RNAcentral